CCCGGGCCUUGUACACACCGCCCGUCACACCAUGGGAGUUGGUUUUACCUUAACGACCGGUCGGCGCUAACCGCAAGGAGGCAGCCGUCCACGGUAAGGUCAGCGACUGGGGUG
RNAcentral lists this ribosomal RNA (114 nucleotides) under uncultured bacterium. Its description in RNAcentral is "partial 16S ribosomal RNA". It matches the Rfam family "Bacterial small subunit ribosomal RNA", at positions 1373 to 1482 of the family's 1533-position model. The record is from RNAcentral.